GAGAAAUUGGUUAAACUAAUAAUACUAGCUUGUCAUGCUAGAGUUACUCGUUAGAGUAUUUCUUU
Molecule: transfer RNA, 65 nt
Filed under: Daphnia pulex (common water flea)
Lineage: Eukaryota; Metazoa; Arthropoda; Branchiopoda; Diplostraca; Daphniidae
Also listed under: 1 other name
Description: tRNA-Asp
Source: RNAcentral